Oryctolagus cuniculus (rabbit) is the source of this 434-nucleotide non-coding RNA. The record is from the annotation of a RefSeq genome assembly. NCBI's taxonomy places the organism in Eukaryota, Metazoa, Chordata, Mammalia, Lagomorpha, Leporidae.
CUCUGGCACAGGAGCUCCAGCCCCAGGACUCCCAGGUGUCCACUCAGUGCUCGCACUCAACACAGACGCUCACCAUGGGGACUGGGCUGCGCUGGCUUCUCCUUGUCGCUGUGCUCAAAGGUGUCCAGUGUCAGUCGCUGGAGGAGUCCAGGGGAGGCCUGUUCAAGCCUGGGGGAUCCCUGAAACUCUCCUGCAAAGCCUCCGGAUUCAUCUUCAGUGACAACUAUGCAAUGUGCUGGUUCCGCCAGGCUCCAGGGAAGGGGUUGGAGUGGAUCGCAUACAUUAAGACUGGUAGUGGUAGCACAUGGUACGCGAGCUGGGUGAAUGGCCGAUUCACCAUGUCCAGAAACACCAAGGACAACACGGUGUCUCUGAAAAUGACUACUCUGACUGCCGCGGACAUGGCCACCUAUUUCUGUGUGAGAGACACAUGA